This 490-nucleotide ribosomal RNA is filed under the name uncultured bacterium. Its description in RNAcentral is "partial 16S ribosomal RNA". It matches the Rfam family "Bacterial small subunit ribosomal RNA", at positions 30 to 507 of the family's 1533-position model. The record is from RNAcentral.
AUUGAACGCUGGCGGCAGGCCUAACACAUGCAAGUCGAACGGUAACAGGAAACAGCUUGCUGUUUCGCUGACGAGUGGCGGACGGGUGAGUAAUGUCUGGGAAACUGCCUGAUGGAGGGGGAUAACUACUGGAAACGGUAGCUAAUACCGCAUAACGUCGCAAGACCAAAGAGGGGGACCUUCGGGCCUCUUGCCAUCGGAUGUGCCCAGAUGGGAUUAGCUAGUAGGUGGGGUAACGGCUCACCUAGGCGACGAUCCCUAGCUGGUCUGAGAGGAUGGCCAGCCACACUGGAACUGAGACACGGUCCAGACUCCUACGGGAGGCAGCAGAGGGGAAUAUUGCACAAUGGGCGCAAGCCUGAUGCAGCCAUGCCGCGUGUAUGAAGAAGGCCUUCGGGUUGUAAAGUACUUUCAGCGGGGAGGAAGGGAGUAAAGUUAAUACCUUUGCUCAUUGACGUUACCCGCAGAAGAAGCACCGGCUAACUCCGUG